Molecule: long non-coding RNA, 2348 nt
Organism: Equus asinus (donkey)
Lineage: Eukaryota; Metazoa; Chordata; Mammalia; Perissodactyla; Equidae
Source: Ensembl
AUUACUUCUAGUUACAUUAAAAACUUUAAUUAUAAUUAAUAAUUAUAUUAAUUACACAUUUGUACUCUGUGUAACUAUACAAAUGAGUAAUGGGUAUACAAGGAGAUGGGUAGACAAACCGGAAAUAUUCACACCUGCAAAAGUGCAGGGCACCCUUUUCUAUUACUGCAAGAAAAGCCUCGAGGGGUUUGGCAAACAUGACCUGCUAGGUUGCCAGCCAUUUAAAAAUAGUCAAGUUCAGAACCCCGGGAAAGCAGACGCAUCUUUAAUAGGGCAAAGAGAUAGCGCUUCGCUGAGGUCUGGUGCUGCCUGAGAAGCUGACAUCACCCAGUCUACUUUAGGGUAAACUUUUAACAAUGAAGGGACUGGUUUUCCUCCUAAAUUCUUUAUGCUGACAUGCUGACAUCUGUUUAUAGGGAGCACCAGUGUAAUUCACAUGGUCCAAAGCCUCAUGCUUUCUGUGGGCCCACUCAUCAGCCCCUCACUGCCUUCACAGCCAGCUUUCAAAGGCAACUACGGCUUUCUUACAAAGAGAGGCUUCUGGCGUUGUCACGAGAACACGGACCCAACAGCACAGGCUCUGCAUUCAAAUUCUGACUCGCCCGUUUAUUUGAGCAAGUUGCUUCAUUUCGCUAAGCCUCAAUUUCUUCAAACUGGAGAAAAGAACAGUGCUUAUCUCAUUAGGCUAUUUUGAAGAUUAAGCGAAAUAAAGCAAGAGAGUGUUCAGUGAGGUAUCCAGCACACCACAAGCCCUCAGUUAUCAUUAGCUAUGAUUAGUCUGUGUCUGUGUUAGGAAGCGCAGCGUUCUCUCCUCCGGGCUUUUCCAGUGACCUCAGGUAACGUGAUUUUCUUAAGCUGACUCUUGUGGGCUGGUACCUACUCUAGUCUUCAGGCCAGCUCCACACACGUGACUUUGAGCUGUUUCUCAGCUUCUACAAGUUCUCCCUCUCUCCCUCUCUCCCUCUCUCCCUCUCUCCCUCCCUCUCUCUCUCUCAGCCAGCCUGUAAAGCCGGAAGCACACAGCUCCCUCUGUGACUCAGAUCUCCUUCCCUCUGCUCAUACCACCAGAGAGAAAGGCUGUGUUGAAGCUCAAACAGGGACUUCUUGAUUUCUCCAAACCGAGAGGUGACUUUUCACCAUAUUCUUGGUAGAGCUGACCGUAGCUCACUGACCAAUAGCCAACUGGAUUUCCAAGAGCCGACGGGAACUGAGAAACUGCAGAGCUGUCACUCAGGCGUCUGGAGUUACCUGGAUUUUUACUCUUCCUGAGCCUUCAUUUUUCUAAUCUCCUUGCAUUCUCAACAUAUCUGAGCAUCCUGAUUGUAAAUUCCCUCUUUCGGCUUAAGCAAGCCCAUGUGAAUAUCUGUUGCAUAUAACCUAAAGAAUCCUAAUUUAUGAAUUAAAUUAAAAAAUUUAAAGAUAUUAAGCUUGUCAGCAAUAUGUUAGCCUUUUGUAUGUCUCUAAGCGUAUUAAAUACAGAAUUAGGAAGACAUUACAUUUUUUUCACUAUGAUACCCAUGCUGCUUGUUUCAACAGACAACAGGCAGGGUUAACUACUUUCAAAAUAUCAGGAAAGAAAACUUUCUUAAUCAGUGAGUUUCUAAAAGUAAUGAAGCAUAUUUAAAAAAAAAUCACACACACACAGCAUUUUAGAUUUCUUCAUUUUACUCACCAACAUUAUCUUCUUAUUAAAAUUACCGAAGUCUUUUGAAUUAAAAUAAUAGGAGUUUCUUGUGAUAUUCAAGCAAUUAGCAAUAUAUGUUAACUCUAGAAUUUCAAGUAACAAUAUGAUGUACCUUUGUAAAUAGGUAUCAUUUCUUCUGGCAACAGGUUUUAAGCAAAUUGAUGUACUGGGAAGGCACAGUAACUGCUUUUCCUCUUUGUAAUAUGUGUGUUAUGAAACUUAGCACUGAUAGACCUUCUCAGUUUCUUCUUUGACUAGUACGCAUACCUUUAAACGUACCAUGCACUUUUCUUAUUUCUGCACCUCUUUUAUGUUGUUGAUGCUGUUUAGAAUUCUAGCUCCACCUCUCCCUCUAAAGCUAAUUUGCAAGGAAAACUCAUACUUAUCCUGCGGUGCCCUACUUAAAUAUCACCACCUCCGAGAAGCAUUCUCUGUGCACCUUCUGUCCCUUCCUCUUUAAGCAGAAUCAAUCUUUACUUUCAAUUUAUUUUUCAUCGCGUCCUUUUGUAAAUACCUCUCAUGCUUUCGUGAUCUGCUCUAUUAGUCGUUUCAGGUCAGUCACUUGAAGUUACCCAUGAAUCCCUUUAUGGCAAGGAUUAUGUCUUGUUCAUCCUUGUGUCUUUCUAGCACAUUGGAUGGUUUCCAGCUGAUAAUUGACAUUCAG